CGCCGCGGUAAUUCCAGCUCCAAUAGCGUAUAUUAGUGUUGUUGCGGUUAAAAAGCUCGUAGUUGAAUUUCGGGAUUGGGAUAUAUCGGUCGUGCCUUUAGGGGCAUGAAUCGGUGUGUGGCCAAUUCUCACCUUCUGGUGAAUUGGGAUGCUCUCGGGUGUUUCAAUGAACUAGGACUUUUACUUUGAAAAAAUUAGAGUGUUUAAAGCGGGCAUUUUUGCUUGAAUACGUUAGCAUGGAAUAAUAAAAUAGGACGAUGGUUCUAUUUUGUUGGUUUUAGGACCACGUAAUGAUUAAUAGGGAUAGUUGGGGGCAUUAGUAUUCAAUUGUCAGAGGUGAAAUUCUUGGAUUUAUUGAGGACUAACUACUGCGAAAGCAUUUGCCAAGGAUGUUUUCAUUAAUCAAGAACGAAAGUUAGGGGAUCAAAGACGAUUUAUGUACGUCGUAGUCUUAACCAUAAACUAUGCCGACUAGGAAUCAGACAAAGUUAAUUUUUUAACGACUUGUUUGGUACCUUACG
RNAcentral lists this unclassified non-coding RNA (521 nucleotides) under uncultured Glomeromycotina. Its description in RNAcentral is "SSU rRNA". It matches the Rfam family "Eukaryotic small subunit ribosomal RNA", at positions 572 to 1092 of the family's 1831-position model. Lineage: Eukaryota; Fungi; Glomeromycota. The record is from RNAcentral.